This 650-nucleotide ribosomal RNA is filed under the name uncultured bacterium. Its description in RNAcentral is "bacterial SSU rRNA". It matches the Rfam family "Bacterial small subunit ribosomal RNA", at positions 48 to 696 of the family's 1533-position model. The record is from RNAcentral.
CUAACACAUGCAAGUCGAGCGCGAAAACACUUCGGUGUGAGUAGAGCGGCGGACGGGUGAGUAAUGCUUGGGAAUCUGCCCAAUAGUGGGGGAUAACGUGUGGAAACGCACGCUAAUACCGCAUACGUCCUACGGGAGGAAGCAGGGGAUCUUCGGACCUUGCGCUAUUGGAUGAGCCCAAGUCAGAUUAGCUAGUUGGUGGGGUAAUGGCUCACCAAGGCGACGAUCUGUAGCUGGUCUGAGAGGAUGAUCAGCCACACUGGGACUGAGACACGGCCCAGACUCCUACGGGAGGCAGCAGUGGGGAAUAUUGCACAAUGGGCGAAAGCCUGAUGCAGCCAUGCCGCGUGUGUGAAGAAGGCUCUAGGGUUGUAAAGCACUUUCAGUGGGGAGGAAAAGCUCAAAAUUAAUACUUUUGAGCCUUGACGUUACCUGCAGAAGAAGCACCGGCAAACUCCGUGCCAGCAGCCGCGGUAAUACGGAGGGUGCGAGCGUUAAUCGGAAUUACUGGGCGUAAAGCGCGCGUAGGUGGUUUGAUAAGCUAGCUGUGAAAGCCCUGGGCUCAACCUGGGAACUGCAGUUAGAACUGUCUGGCUAGAGUAUAGUAGAGGGUGGCGGAAUUUCCUGUGUAGCGGUGAAAUGCGUAGAUA